Non-coding RNA from Seminavis robusta, 73 nucleotides. The record is from the annotation of a GenBank genome assembly. Lineage: Eukaryota; Bacillariophyta; Bacillariophyceae; Naviculales; Naviculaceae.
AAUAUGGCGGCUCAACAGGCAGAGCAUCAGAUUGAGAUUCUGAAAGUUGCGAGUUCAAGUCUCGCCCAGAUCA